ACACAACACAGAGGAAUUCAGCAAUCAAUUGAGGGGCUCUACCUUAGUGUGAGGCACCGGAAGUGAACCCUCUACCGUCAGAAUGACAGCAGCAAGUUUCGCCAUCGCCUUCGAAGAAAGUUGGCAGAAGACAAAAAACUCCUUCUUCAGGAGAUACAGAAAUACAAUGAUCUUGUACUAGAAUCGGCGACAACCAUUGACGUAGCUGUGGUGGAGCAUUCCCUAACUGGAGAGAGUACUGUGUCUCAAAUAUGGCUGUGGGAGGUUCAUGGCAGUGCAAACAUUUCAAUCAAGAAACGAGUGCACGACCAAGUGAUGUUAACAAGGCGACUGCAUGAGGAAACAAGAGUUUUGGUUUUGGAGAUGGCACAACACUGCACAUGGUUGCAGAGCCUGGCAAUGGUUCUCAAGAACAAGUUGACUCAGGAGGGUAAGUUUUAUUAAAACCCUGUCCAUCUAAUGUGUUAAAAAAAACACACAAAAAAAACACAUCAGUCACAGAACUUGAUGGAGUAGAACGGUUAUCUCUUUGCCGAGGUCCUUUAACACGUACAUAAAAUGGGGAUUAAAGUUGUUACUGUAGCUAUGGUAACAAGUCAGUAAGGCUAUAAAGAUUCACAUUUGCUUGAAAGAUGUGCAGAUUUGUUGUACUAUGGCUGUUACUUGAAAGCAUAAAUGAACAAAAUAAUUGGAACUUUGAAAUUUGUGUCCUGAUGUGUUACACGUGGUUAGCAUAACAUCAAGAUUAAUCUUAUUAUUAUCAUCUCCUCCAGUCAACAUAGAAAACCUUGCUGGUCAGCAAGUAACAAAAUGUGUUAUUUCAGCACCACUGUAGUGAACAAGAAAACUGUUAACUUAAAACAGCUAUCAGAUAUAUAUAUAUAUGCUGCUUUGGGCCUCCCUCCAUAAAGUCACCUCAGUGAGCCAUGUUGCCUUGAGUUGUUUUAUACAGAAGCUAGCCUGGUCCCAUGUCAGCGAUACACAUAAAAAUGCCAAUCAUCCUGCUAUGUAGAUUUGAAUAGGUGAUAUCUUU
Carassius carassius (crucian carp) is the source of this 1033-nucleotide long non-coding RNA. RefSeq lists it as uncharacterized. The record is from RefSeq and is a predicted model, not a curated record. NCBI's taxonomy places the organism in Eukaryota, Metazoa, Chordata, Actinopteri, Cypriniformes, Cyprinidae. The transcript is spliced from 3 exons.